UACGAGGGGAGCUAGCGUUAUUCGGAAUUACUGGGCGUAAAGCGCACGUAGGCGGCUUUGUAAGUAAGGGGUGAAAGCCCAGAGCUCAACUCUGGAAUAGCCUUUUAGACUGCAUCGCUUGAAUCCAGGAGAGGUGAGUGGAAUUCCGAGUGUAGAGGUGAAAUUCGUAGAUAUUCGGAAGAACACCAGUGGCGAAGGCGGCUCACUGGACUGGUAUUGACGCUGAGGUGCGAAAGCGUGGGGAGCAAACAGG
RNAcentral lists this ribosomal RNA (253 nucleotides) under uncultured bacterium. RNAcentral describes it as "partial 16S ribosomal RNA". It matches the Rfam family "Bacterial small subunit ribosomal RNA", at positions 524 to 776 of the family's 1533-position model. The record is from RNAcentral.